This is a long non-coding RNA of Mesocricetus auratus (golden hamster), 1087 nucleotides long. RefSeq lists it as uncharacterized. Lineage: Eukaryota; Metazoa; Chordata; Mammalia; Rodentia; Cricetidae. The record is from RefSeq and is a predicted model, not a curated record. The transcript is spliced from 3 exons.
AGGGUGCUGUUCUCCACUGAGCCUGUCUCCAGGCUCUGGAGCUGAUGACUGAUCUGGGAGCUUAACAAAUGAGGAGGUGACCCAGGGAAGCCAAGGGCAAGUGGCUUUUGAGGGGUGCUCCUGAACUUCUCGGGCUAGCCACAUCAGUGGCACCCUCCCAGUUGCCACAUACACAUUCUCCAGAUGUUUCCAAGUGUCCCAGGGCAGCUAGUCACCCCUGGUUGAGAACAAUGCUCCAGAGGGCACUCAACACUAUGGGAACAAACUGGCGUCCAGGGAGCCAUCUAAGCCUGUGAUCAACUCCAGUAGAAAUCAGAGAAUCUGAACAGGAACAGUGAAUGAAGGAAAAUGAAAUAAAUACAGGAAGACAGGAAAAGAGAUUCACACGGUCCCCUACCAGCAGAAUCAACAUCAGCUGCUGUGACGGUUCAUCCUGUUGACUCCAUCUCCGUGGAAACGUGGAGACUGAUUGAUUGAGGUGGGAAGACCCACCUCCAUGUGGGUGGUGCCAUUCCCUAGGCUGGGGUCCUAAAUGAACACAAAGGAUGAAGGCAGCUGAGCACCAGUGCCCAUCUCUCUGCUUCCUGACUAUGGACCAGAUGUGGCCAGCUGCCUCAUGCUCCAUGGCCAUGAUAGACCGUGUCCCCUGGAACCAUGAGCCAGCGUGACCUUUUCCUUCCUUAACUUGCUUAUGUAAAGUGUUUUGUCACAGCAAUGAAAUCAGUGAGGCCAGGGACCUAGUAGAAAUGUAGAUACUUGGGCCCUGCCCAGAUCUGCCAAAUCAGAAGCUCUGUGGAUUGGGCCCCGGAAAUAAAAUUUCCUGGCUCGUUAUGGUAAUUCUGAUGCUUGCCUAAGUGUGAAGACCACACUGCCUUAAGAGAAAGGGUGAGGUACUAGGAGUGACAAGAAAUGAGGAAACAAUGUUUUGUGUGUGUGUGUGUGUGUGUGUGUGUGUGUGUGUGUGUAUGUGUGAAUGCAUGUGCCUGCCUUUGUAGAUCUGUAUAGAGGGCAGGGUUUGAUAACGGCCAUCUUACUUUUUUGUUUGUUUGAUUUGGUUUUUUGAGACAGGGUUUCUCUGUGUAACAGC